GUUAGUUGGGAGCCAUAAAAGCCCCAUCAACCACCAAUGUUUCACCUACAGACAAGGCAUCCUUAGCCAAAGUAUCAGCGAGGAUAUUCCUCUCACGAGGUAUCCAAGGAAAAAAGACAGACUUAAACAAAGACGAUAGAGAUAGUUAGUCUGAAACAAUUCCAUAUAGCUCCGGGAGAUGAUUACGGUCGUUGAUGGCUUUGAUCAGCUGCGCUGAAUCAGAUUCGAAGGACACGGCUUCCAUGGCAUUGAGAUUGCAGGUGCGGACAGCCUCUCGGAGUGCUAAAGCCUCCGCCAUAAAAGGUGAAGCAACAAACUCCUGAUACUUUCUCUCUGAUCUAUUCGUCGGGGAAGAGAGGAUGACCCAUCCUAGGCCCACUGCGUUCCUUCCAGGUGUCCAAGCUGCAUCAGUUUGCACAGUCACCACAUCAGGAGGUACUCGUACGCGGGGCUUGAGUCAUGUUGGUGAUGGUGGUUUGUCUGUUGAUUUGUUGAGGCUCCAUUCUCUCGCCAUUUUGAUUGCUAAGGACAGAGUUUCCUCAGGAGAUGCUGAGAAGUCCUCAAAAAGAAACAUGUUCCUGGCCUUCCAUAAACUCCAUAUGACCCACAGAGAUAAAGCUCCGAACGUGAUACCAGCGGGAGGUAGGCAUCGCAAAGUACAAAGAGAUGUCCAGCUUGCUGCCAAAUCUAACAAUCCACUGCAGUAGUCCACUUCCGUUACGAAAGGGGCUAGAUUCCAGACACUUUGAGCAAAGCGACAUUGGAAAAGUAGAUGAUUAAUAGAUUCGGAGCAUCCGCAUCUCUUGCAAUGGGGAUCAACAGCAAUAUUCCUUUGUAGCAGCUUUUCUCCCACUGGGAGCGCUCCUUUAAGCAGUUUCCAUGAGAAGGUUUUUAUUUUAACAGUGUAGUCUCCUGUCUUGGUGCCUAACCAGACAAGUUUAUCCGGAGCCCCAGUUGCACUUGGUUUUAUGCACAUGAUUCUCUCUUCAUAAUCCGGGACACAAAGUUGGAUUUUGUUGUGGUCCCAUUCCGUGGUGCCUGUGACCAUGAGUUCUGCUACCAACAAAUCAACAUAUUUCACUCGAGGCGGACCAAAAGGUCUCUCCUGGUGUCUCGUCUCCAGCCAAGGAUCUUGCCAGACCUUGAUAGAUUGUCCGUCGCCAACAACCCAUCCCAAAUUCUCACCAACAGCUCUCUGCCUAACAAAAUACUUCUCCAUCCGUGCGACAUCGCAGUAGCUCCAGUAGCAGUGAGAAUAUUGCCAUCGGGGUUGGAGAUUGCAUCAAAAACCAGAUUGCCUCCUUGCUAAGGUCCUUCAAGGUUUGAGGCCUUUGAUGUUGUAGUAACAGAGUCAGAUAAAGCAAGCUUUGCAAGUGUCUUAAACUCUCCAAGCUUUGAUCCAGAAGAGAAUCUUCAUGGAGAUAAAGAAGCCCUCUUGCAACUCCUUCUAUGAUUCUACACCUCACAUCCCAAGUAAGUAGCCAACGUUUGUGUUCAUCUAUAGAUUCACAAAGAAAAAAAAAAGAUUUAUUUUUCUCUAGUCUGAUAAAAGUCUUGUAAUGAAAAUACAUUACAAUUGGUCGUGCCAAGGCUUACCGAAUAUAAAGUGAUCAAGACUUGAAUUA
Molecule: long non-coding RNA, 1625 nt
Organism: Brassica napus (rape)
Lineage: Eukaryota; Viridiplantae; Streptophyta; Magnoliopsida; Brassicales; Brassicaceae
Exons: 2
Source: RefSeq, a predicted model, not a curated record